CGCGAACGCUGGCGGCAGGCCUAAAACAUGCAAGUCGAACGCCCGUAGCAAUACGGGAGUGGCAGACGGGUGAGUAACACGUGGGAACGUGCCCUUUGGUUCGGAACAACACAGGGAAACUUGUGCUAAUACCGGAUAAGCCCUUACGGGGAAAGAUUUAUCGCCAGAGGAUCGGCCCGCGUCUGAUUAGCUAGUUGGUGAGGUAACGGCUCACCAAGGCUACGAUCAGUAGCUGGCUGAGAGGAUGAUCAGCCACACUGGGACUGAGACACGGCCCAGACUCCUACGGGAGGCAGCAGUUAGGAAUCUUGGACAAUGGGCGCAAGCCUGAUCCAGCCAUGCCGCGUGAGUGAUGAAGGCCUUAGGGUUGUAAAGCUCUUUCAGCGGGGAAGAUAAUGACGGUACCCGCAGAAGAACGCCCCGG
This 424-nucleotide ribosomal RNA is filed under the name uncultured bacterium. RNAcentral describes it as "bacterial SSU rRNA". It matches the Rfam family "Bacterial small subunit ribosomal RNA", at positions 29 to 496 of the family's 1533-position model. The record is from RNAcentral.